GAUGAACGCUGGCGGCGUGCCUAAUACAUGCAAGUCGAGCGAACGGACGAGAAGCUUGCUUCUCUGAUGUUAGCGGCGGACGGGUGAGUAACACGUGGGUAGCCUACCUAUAAGACUGGGAUAACUUCGGGAAACCGGAGCUAAUACCGGAUAAUAUUUUGAACCGCAUGGUUCAAAAGUGAAAGACGGUCUUGCUGUCACUUAUAGAUGGAUCCGCGCUGCAUUAGCUAGUUGGUAAGGUAACGGCUUACCAAGGCAACGAUGCAUAGCCGACCUGAGAGGGUGAUCGGCCACACUGGAACUGAGACACGGUCCAGACUCCUACGGGAGGCAGCAGUAGGGAAUCUUCCGCAAUGGGCGAAAGCCUGACGGAGCAACGCCGCGUGAGUGAUGAAGGUCUUCGGAUCGUAAAACUCUGUUAUUAGGGAAGAACAUAUGUGUAAGUAACUGUGCACAUCUUGACGGUACCUAAUCAGAAAGCCACGGCUAACUACGUG
RNAcentral lists this ribosomal RNA (497 nucleotides) under uncultured bacterium. RNAcentral describes it as "partial 16S ribosomal RNA". It matches the Rfam family "Bacterial small subunit ribosomal RNA", at positions 28 to 507 of the family's 1533-position model. The record is from RNAcentral.